GCCGGUUUAGCUUAGUGGUAGAGCGUUGCACUUGUAUCGAGGUACCGAGAUAUUUCAGUUACCAUGCAAAGGUCGGUUGUUCAAUCCAGCCAACCGGCA
Non-coding RNA from Marasmius oreades (fairy-ring Marasmius), 99 nucleotides. Lineage: Eukaryota; Fungi; Basidiomycota; Agaricomycetes; Agaricales; Marasmiaceae. The record is from the annotation of a RefSeq genome assembly.